CGCGACCCCWGGUCAGGCGGGGUUACCCGCUGAAUUUAAGCAUAUCAAUAAGCGGA
This 56-nucleotide ribosomal RNA is filed under the name Cliffortia hantamensis. RNAcentral describes it as "partial 26S ribosomal RNA". The record is from RNAcentral. Lineage: Eukaryota; Viridiplantae; Streptophyta; Magnoliopsida; Rosales; Rosaceae.